RNAcentral lists this ribosomal RNA (473 nucleotides) under uncultured bacterium. Its description in RNAcentral is "bacterial SSU rRNA". It matches the Rfam family "Bacterial small subunit ribosomal RNA", at positions 8 to 507 of the family's 1533-position model. The record is from RNAcentral.
AGAGUUUGAUCAUGGGCUCAGGAUGAACGCUGGCGGCGUGCCUAACACAUGCAAGUUGAGCGAUUUACUUCGGUAAAGAGCGGCGGACGGGUGAGUAACGCGUGGGUAACCUGCCCUGUACACACGGAUAACAUACCGAAAGGUAUGCUAAUACGAGAUAAUAUGCUUUUAUCACAUGGUAGAAGCAUCAAAGCUUUUGCGGUACAGGAUGGACCCGCGUCUGAUUAGCUAGUUGGUAAGGUAACGGCUUACCAAGGCGACGAUCAGUAGCCGACCUGAGAGGGUGAUCGGCCACAUUGGAACUGAGACACGGUCCAAACUCCUACGGGAGGCAGCAGUGGGGAAUAUUGCACAAUGGGCGAAAGCCUGAUGCAGCAACGCCGCGUGAGCGAUGAAGGCCUUCGGGUCGUAAAGCUCUGUCCUCAAGGAAGAUAAUGACGGUACUUGAGGAGGAAGCCCCGGCUAACUACGUG